UUCUGGUUGAUCCUGCCGGAGGUCACUGCUAUUGGGAUUCGACUAAGCCAUGCGAGUCGAGAGGGUUCGGCCCUCGGCUGACGGCUCAGUAACACGUGGAUAAUCUGCCCUUAGGUGGAGGAUAAUCUCGGGAAACUGAGAAUAAUACUCCAUAGGUCUAAGAUGCUGGAAUGCACUUAGGCUCAAAACUCCGGUGCCUAAGGAUGAGUCUGCGGACUAUCAGGUUGUAGUCAGGGUAAUGACCUGACUAACCUACGACGGAUACGGGUUGUGAGAGCAAUAGCCCGGAGAUGAUAUCUGAGACACGAUAUCAGGCCCUACGGGGCGCAGCAGGCGCGAAAACUUCACAAUGUGCGAAAGCACGAUGAGGGAAUCCCAAGUGCUUGCACGUAAGUGUAAGCUGUUUCUUUGUUUAAAACGCAUUGAGAGUAAGGGCUGGGUAAGACGGGUGCCAGCAGCCGCGGUAA
RNAcentral lists this ribosomal RNA (467 nucleotides) under uncultured archaeon. Its description in RNAcentral is "bacterial SSU rRNA". It matches the Rfam family "Archaeal small subunit ribosomal RNA", at positions 1 to 473 of the family's 1478-position model. The record is from RNAcentral.